RNAcentral lists this ribosomal RNA (342 nucleotides) under Pentaceraster alveolatus. RNAcentral's name for it is "partial 16S ribosomal RNA". It matches the Rfam family "Archaeal large subunit ribosomal RNA", at positions 2019 to 2521 of the family's 2987-position model. The record is from RNAcentral. Lineage: Eukaryota; Metazoa; Echinodermata; Asteroidea; Valvatida; Oreasteridae.
UUGACUGUGCGAAGGUAGNAUAAUCAUUGCCUUUUAAAUGGAGGCUGGUAUGAAUGGCAAGACGGGAAUUAGACUGUCUCUUUCUUGUUUCUCUAAUUUAAUUUCUCCGUGAAGAAGCGGAGAUAUAGUCGUGGGACGAGAAGACCCUGUCGAGCUUUAAUAGACCCAGGCAGGCGAUUGGCGGUCAAAUUGCUGCUAAUUUGCCUAUUGUAGGAUAUUAGUUUUACGAAGCAGGGGGCUGCGUCUUGUAUGGGCUGUUUUGGUUGGGGCAACCGCGGAGAAGAGUUAUCCUCCGCUAAGUUGACUAGGAAAGAUUACAAUCUUCUUGUGCGAUUUCGCUUU